AGCAAUAUGUCAGCGGCAGACGGGUGAGUAACGCGUGGGAACGUACCUUUUGGUUCGGAACAACUGACGGAAACUUCAGCUAAUACCGGAUAAGCCCUUACGGGGAAAGAUUUAUCGCCGAAAGAUCGGCCCGCGUCUGAUUAGCUAGUUGGUGAGGUAAUGGCUCACCAAGGCGACGAUCAGUAGCUGGUCUGAGAGGAUGAUCAGCCACAUUGGGACUGAGACACGGCCCAAACUCCUACGGGAGGCAGCAGUGGGGAAUAUUGGACAAUGGGCGCAAGCCUGAUCCAGCCAUGCCGCGUGAGUGAUGAAGGCCCUAGGGUUGUAAAGCUCUUUUGUGCGGGAAGAUAAUGACGGUACCGCAAGAAUAAGCCCCGGCUAACUUCGUGCCAGCAGCCGCGGUAAUACGAAGGGGGCUAGCGUUGCUCUGAAUCNCUGGGCGUAAAGGGGUGCUGUAAGCGGGUCUUU
RNAcentral lists this ribosomal RNA (468 nucleotides) under uncultured bacterium. RNAcentral describes it as "bacterial SSU rRNA". It matches the Rfam family "Bacterial small subunit ribosomal RNA", at positions 83 to 584 of the family's 1533-position model. The record is from RNAcentral.